CAGUCGCCGCGGGAAUACGUAGGUGGCAAGCGUUAUCCGGAAUUAUUGGGCGUAAAGCGCGCGUAGGCGGUUUUUUAAGUCUGAUGUGAAAGCCCACGGCUCAACCGUGGAGGGUCAUUGGAAACUGGAAAACUUGAGUGCAGAAGAGGAGAGUGGAAUUCCACGUGUAGCGGUGAAAUGCGUAGAGAUGUGGAGGAACACCAGUGGCGAAGGCGACUCUCUGGUCUGUAACUGACGCUGAGGAGCGAAAGCGUGGGGAGCGAACAGGAUUAGAUACCCCCGUAGUCCCUGUCUCUUAUAA
Molecule: ribosomal RNA, 301 nt
Filed under: uncultured bacterium
Lineage: Bacteria
Description: partial 16S ribosomal RNA
Rfam family: Bacterial small subunit ribosomal RNA
Source: RNAcentral